Molecule: long non-coding RNA, 168 nt
Organism: Sinocyclocheilus grahami
Lineage: Eukaryota; Metazoa; Chordata; Actinopteri; Cypriniformes; Cyprinidae
Exons: 3
Source: RefSeq, a predicted model, not a curated record
ACGCAGUUAACGCCCCCGCCCCAGACAUAUAGGUCAUCUUACAUAUCAUGCAGUUUACUUUUGACAAACAUGAUGCAGAACCAUAACACUGCAUGAUGUAGCCUAUAAAAAUGCAAUUAUAUGCUCUUAAAAUGUCAGAUAUUGGUGCAAAUAAUGGUGCUGUAUUUU